GAUGAAGAACGUAGCGAAAUGCGAUAAGUAGUGUGAAUUGCAGAAUUCAGUGAAUCAUCGAAUCUUUGAACGCACAUUGCGCCCUUUGGUAUUCCUUAGGGCAUGCCUGUUCGAGCGUCAUUUAAACCUUCAAGCUAAGCUUGGUGUUGGGUGACUGUCCGCCUCACGGCGGACUCGCCUCAAAAUUAUUGGCGGCCGGUACAUUGGCUUCGAGCGCAGCAGAAACGCGAACUCGGGCCCGUCGUAUUGGCUCCCAGAAGCUAUCUUCACAAUUUUGACCUCGGAUCAGGUAGGAAUACCCGCUGAACUUAAGCAUAUCAAUAAGCGGAGGA
This 332-nucleotide unclassified non-coding RNA is filed under the name soil metagenome. RNAcentral describes it as "partial contains 5.8S ribosomal RNA, internal transcribed spacer 2, and large subunit ribosomal RNA". The stretch from base 1 to 120 matches the Rfam family "5.8S ribosomal RNA", at positions 35 to 154 of the family's 154-position model. The record is from RNAcentral.